CAGCAUAAAAAAAUUAAAACAAAAGGUGCAGCCCCUUUUCUCUGCUAGGGUUUCUUUCAACCCUCCCUUUGCGCCGAGGCUCCGAUCGCGACGGAGGUGGCGUCGAUUCGACGACUCCGGCGAAAGAGGUAAGUUUCCCUUCUCUUUGCACAAUCAAGUUUAAAUAAUUGUCUUUCUAUUUUUGUAUCUUUUACACUGAUUUUUUCUCUUCUCAGUACCGAAAAAUUCCCCCCCCCCUUUACUGAUUUUUCAAGGCUUUAAAUAGCCGAAAAUGAAAAACCCCUGAAUCCCCAUCCAAAAAGCAUAUCUAUUUUGUUUUUGUUGGUAUAUUUGCCCAAUUUUUGCUCUUCUGUUUUGAGUUUGUUGUUGCAGGUAUUGUUGGCGCAUGGAGCGGUGCACGCUGGGGAGGGUCGUGGCGCGAGAUUCGCGGCGGUGUGCGAGGGUGGUACUGGAGACUGCUAGGGCUUGCAGCGUUGGGGCCAAAGCUGCUAGGGUUUUCGGUAGAAAAUUUGGUUAGUGGGCUGUUGGGGUUUGGGCCUAGGUUUAGUUUAUUGGGUUGUUUUACUAUUUGUAAGGCCUGGACCAUUUGGGCCGAUUACAAUAAUAAUAAUAACUUAAUUAGUUUAAUGAUAAGGAAGGACUAAAUUAAAAAUAAACAAAAUCUCAGGGGCAAGAUCGAGAGUAAAUAAAAGAUAAAAAUAUCAAAUUGAACACGCGGAUGACAAGGAGGGGUGAAUGGGAAAUAAUCCCAUCCUCCAAAAUGCGUAGUUCCAUUAGGGAUUGAAAUGUGAUGAAAAUAAAAUUAUCAGGCUUAAUUGAAAGAAAUAAAAACAAUCAGAAGGAUCUAAUUGAAACAAGUGUAAAAUGCGGAAGGACCUAGAGGGAUAUUCUCCCAUUUUAAAAGAAAACACGCGGAUCCCUGGGUGCGGGUCGUCCAAAACGGCGCCGUUUUGGCGCUAAAACCCCCAGGUGAAACGAUGUUAUUUUAUUUGUGCUAUAAAAGCAAAAAUUUAUUCAAAAAUUUUCAUUUCUCCCUUCUUUAAAACAAAAAAAAAAAACCAGAAAAACCUCUCUAGCCCCCCUUUCACUCCCCAGAGCCCGGCCAAAGGUACGGCCAUCGGCCGCAGUGUCGGCUGCCGGCCAUCGGCAAUGUCGCCACCGUGCGCGGUUUCCGGAAAAGGGGAAAACUUUAGAUCUAGCAUUUUCUAACCUCUCAAGCCCAAAUCUGUGUUAAAAUCCCCAAAAUAUUAACCAAAAAGCCCCAAAAGCUCAAGAAACCUUUCGGUUUCAGGCCGCCUAUCCUCGGAGGUGACUUCCUUGGUCGUCCACGGCUUCGGAGACUCGAAUAUAGGUCAGUUUGACUCUCUUUUCCUGUUUAUUUUACUUUUUUUGUAUAUGUAAAUGUAAUAAAAACAAAAUAACACAAAAAAAAUCAAAAGAUUAAGCGGAGAAAAAAAUGGAAAGUAAAAACCUUUCGGGCUUUCUAUUGAAUUUUUCUUUCAAUAUUCGAUUCUCUAUUUUUUAUUUAUUUUUGAAUCGGUCCCCCCUUUUUACAUUGGUUUUAUGCGGCUCUUAUAGCUGAAAAUACUUGCCACUGUUCCUCGCUAUCUGCUGCUUCUGUUUCUUUCUCUUAUUGUUUGCAGGUCUGUGGAGACAAUUGGCAGAAAGAUUUGCCAUUUUGGUGCAACAUGGGUGAAAGGCAUCGUAAUUGGGCAUAGUGCGCGCUGAGGGUGCACAUGGGGCAGCUGCGGCGCGAGGGAAGGGAUAAAACCCUAGGGUUCCCUGAUGCUGUUUAGUUUUUGGGCCCAUUGGGCAGUUUAGGGUUUUUUAAAAUUUGGGUUGUUUGGCCCGUUGUACAUGGACUGCUAUAUAUUUUUUGACUGUUUAUUUUUUGGUUUUAUUUCAGGCCCGGGCGAAAUAUAGGCUUUACAGCCAUUAUCUAGUUUAAAAAGUCUAUUUCAUCAAACACAACAAUGUUGAGUUUUUUAAGCAACAAUCGGUGAAGUGAAUAAUACAUGUGGUUUAACAAUGCCAUCUCAUGUUUCAAACUUUGUGUAGAAAAAUUUACCUUGCAGAUAUAUCUAUCACCCUAAACAUUUGGUCAAACUAACGCAAACUUGAAUUAAAUUUAAAAUUAUCAAAAUUUAAAAUGAUUUGAAUUUGACCUAUGAGAAUCCGAAUCUUAAACUUAAAAUUUAACUCAAAACAUCUUUAAUCCAAAAAAAAUAAAAAAUCGAAUUGAUCCGAUUCAAAUUAACUUGUUU
This 2264-nucleotide long non-coding RNA is filed under the name Gossypium barbadense (sea-island cotton). Its description in RNAcentral is "long non-coding RNA (GBAR_LNC022095)". The record is from RNAcentral. Lineage: Eukaryota; Viridiplantae; Streptophyta; Magnoliopsida; Malvales; Malvaceae.